UACGGGGGGAGCAAGCGUUGUUCGGAUUUACUGGGCGUAAAGGGCGCGUAGGCGGCCUUUGCAAGUCCGUUGUGAAAUCUCCGAGCUUAACUCGGAACGGUCAACUGAUACUGCUCGGCUAGAGUGCGGAAGGGGCAACUGGAAUUCUUGGUGUAGCGGUGAAAUGCGUAGAUAUCAAGAGGAACACCUGCGGCGAAGGCGGGUUGCUGGGCCGACACUGACGCUGAGGCGCGAAAGCUAGGGGAGCGAACGGG
RNAcentral lists this ribosomal RNA (254 nucleotides) under uncultured bacterium. RNAcentral's name for it is "partial 16S ribosomal RNA". It matches the Rfam family "Bacterial small subunit ribosomal RNA", at positions 524 to 776 of the family's 1533-position model. The record is from RNAcentral.